Molecule: ribosomal RNA, 437 nt
Filed under: uncultured Clostridium sp.
Lineage: Bacteria; Bacillati; Bacillota; Clostridia; Eubacteriales; Clostridiaceae
Description: partial 16S ribosomal RNA
Rfam family: Bacterial small subunit ribosomal RNA
Source: RNAcentral
ACGGAAGGCAGCAGUGGGGGAUAUUGCGCAAUGGAGGAAACUCUGAUGCAGCAACGCCGCGUGAGGGAAGACGGUCUUCGGAUUGUAAACCUAAGUUAUCAGGGACGAAGUCAAUGACGGUACCUGAAGAGAAAGCUCCGGCUAACUACGUGCCAGCAGCCGCGGUAAUACGUAGGGAGCAAGCGUUGUCCGGAUCUACUGGGUGUAAAGGGUGCGUAGGCGGGCUUGCAAGUCAGGCGUGAAAUCCCGCGGCUUAACUGCGGGGCUGCGGUUGAAACUGUAGGUCUUGAGUGAGGUAGAGGAAAGCGGAAUUCCCAGUGUAGCGGUGAAAUGCGUAGAUAUUGGGAGGAACACCAGUGGCGAAGGCGGCUUGCUGGGCCUUAACUGACGUUGAGGCACGAAGGUGUGGGGAGCAAACAGGAUUAGAUACCCUGGUA